RNAcentral lists this ribosomal RNA (481 nucleotides) under uncultured bacterium. RNAcentral's name for it is "bacterial SSU rRNA". It matches the Rfam family "Bacterial small subunit ribosomal RNA", at positions 28 to 526 of the family's 1533-position model. The record is from RNAcentral.
GACGAACGCUGGCGGCGUGCUUAACACAUGCAAGUCGAGCGGUAAGGCCUUUCGGGGUACACGAGCGGCGAACGGGUGAGUAACACGUGGGUGAUCUGCCCUGCACUUCGGGAUAAGCCUGGGAAACUGGGUCUAAUACCGGAUAUGACCUCCUAUCGCAUGGUGGGUGGUGGAAAGAUUUAUCGGUGCAGGAUGGGCCCGCGGCCUAUCAGCUUGUUGGUGGGGUAAUGGCCUACCAAGGCGACGACGGGUAGCCGACCUGAGAGGGUGACCGGCCACACUGGGACUGAGACACGGCCCAGACUCCUACGGGAGGCAGCAGUGGGGAAUAUUGCACAAUGGGCGAAAGCCUGAUGCAGCGACGCCGCGUGAGGGAUGACGGCCUUCGGGUUGUAAACCUCUUUCAGCAGGGACGAAGCGCAAGUGACGGUACCUGCAGAAGAAGCACCGGCUAACUACGUGCCAGCCGCCGCCGUAACAC